GCCCUCUUAGCUCAGGGGAUAGAGCGACUGCCUCCGGAGCAGUAGGCCGCAGGUUCGAAUCCUGCAGAGGGCACCA
This 76-nucleotide transfer RNA is filed under the name Coriobacteriales bacterium. RNAcentral's name for it is "tRNA-Arg". It matches the Rfam family "tRNA". From Rfam's summary of the family: Transfer RNA (tRNA) molecules are approximately 80 nucleotides in length. Their secondary structure includes four short double-helical elements and three loops (D, anti-codon, and T loops). Lineage: Bacteria; Bacillati; Actinomycetota; Coriobacteriia; Coriobacteriales. The record is from RNAcentral.